Molecule: ribosomal RNA, 735 nt
Filed under: Escherichia coli
Lineage: Bacteria; Pseudomonadati; Pseudomonadota; Gammaproteobacteria; Enterobacterales; Enterobacteriaceae
Description: partial 23S ribosomal RNA
Rfam family: Bacterial large subunit ribosomal RNA
Source: RNAcentral
AAUACCACCCUUUAAUGUUUGAUGUUCUAACGUUGGCCCGUAAUCCGGGUUGCGGACAGUGUCUGGUGGGUAGUUUGACUGGGGCGGUCUCCUCCUAAAGAGUAACGGAGGAGCACGAAGGUUGGCUAAUCCUGGUCGGACAUCAGGAGGUUAGUGCAAUGGCAUAAGCCAGCUUGACUGCGAGCGUGACGGCGCGAGCAGGUGCGAAAGCAGGUCAUAGUGAUCCGGUGGUUCUGAAUGGAAGGGCCAUCGCUCAACGGAUAAAAGGUACUCCGGGGAUAACAGGCUGAUACCGCCCAAGAGUUCAUAUCGACGGCGGUGUUUGGCACCUCGAUGUCGGCUCAUCACAUCCUGGGGCUGAAGUAGGUCCCAAGGGUAUGGCUGUUCGCCAUUUAAAGUGGUACGCGAGCUGGGUUUAGAACGUCGUGAGACAGUUCGGUCCCUAUCUGCCGUGGGCGCUGGAGAACUGAGGGGGGCUGCUCCUAGUACGAGAGGACCGGAGUGGACGCAUCACUGGUGUUCGGGUUGUCAUGCCAAUGGCACUGCCCGGUAGCUAAAUGCGGAAGAGAUAAGUGCUGAAAGCAUCUAAGCACGAAACUUGCCCCGAGAUGAGUUCUCCCUGACUCCUUGAGAGUCCUGAAGGAACGUUGAAGACGACGACGUUGAUAGGCCGGGUGUGUAAGCGCAGCGAUGCGUUGAGCUAACCGGUACUAAUGAACCGUGAGGCUUAACCUU